GAAAUGCGAUACGUAAUGUGAAUUGCAGAAUUCAGUGAAUCAUCGAAUCUUUGAACGCACCUUGCGCCCUUUGGUAUUCCGAGGGGCACACCCGUUUGAGUGUCGUGACAUUCUCAAACCUUCUCGGUUUCUUGACCGGGGAAGGCUUUGGACUUUGGAGGCUUUUGCUGACCUUCCUUUGUUGGAACCAGCUCCUCUGAAAUGAAUUAGUAGGGUCUACUUUGCCGAUCCUUGACGUGAUAAAAUGUUUUCUACGUCUCGGGUUUCGCACUGUUUUGUCCUGGAUCUUGCUUCUAACCGUCUCUCAGAAGACAGAUGGUCGAGUGAUCGUCACUCGACCCACGAACCUUGACCUCAAAUCGGGUGAGACUACCCGCUGAACUUAA
Molecule: ribosomal RNA, 386 nt
Filed under: Russula senecis
Lineage: Eukaryota; Fungi; Basidiomycota; Agaricomycetes; Russulales; Russulaceae
Description: eukaryotic LSU rRNA
Rfam family: 5.8S ribosomal RNA (bases 1-105)
Source: RNAcentral